RNAcentral lists this ribosomal RNA (272 nucleotides) under uncultured prokaryote. RNAcentral describes it as "partial 16S ribosomal RNA". It matches the Rfam family "Bacterial small subunit ribosomal RNA", at positions 524 to 796 of the family's 1533-position model. The record is from RNAcentral.
UACGAAGGGGGCUAGCGUUGUUCGGAAUUACUGGGCGUAAAGGGCGCGUAGGCGGUCCUGAUCGUCGGAUGUGAAAGGCCUGGGCUCAACCUGGGAACUGCAUCCGAUACGGCGGGACUGGAGUGUGGGAGAGGUUGGUGGAAUUCCCAGUGUAGAGGUGAAAUUCGUAGAUAUUGGGAAGAACACCGGUGGCGAAGGCGGCCAACUGGACCACAACUGACGCUGAGGCGCGAAAGCGUGGGGAGCAAACAGGAUUAGAAACCUUGUAGUCC